This 114-nucleotide ribosomal RNA is filed under the name Acanthosepion pharaonis. The record is from RNAcentral. Lineage: Eukaryota; Metazoa; Mollusca; Cephalopoda; Sepiida; Sepiidae.
UUACGAUCAUAUCACGCUGAGGCACCACUUCUCCUAAAAUCACCGAAGUUAAGCAACGUUGAGCCUUGUUAGUACCUAGAUGGGUGACCGCUUGGGAACAUCAGCUGCUGUAAG